CGCACCUUGCACCUCUUGGUAUUCCGAGAGGUACAUCUGUUUGAGUGUCAUGAAACCCUCAACCUCUACAUUUUCUUGUAAAAUGCGGAUGCGUUGGAUGUUGAGCGUUGCUGUUUCACGACAGCUCGCUUUAAAUGUAUAAGCAAUCUCUGUACUGCUCGGAUUGACUUGACGUGAUAAGAUCUUCGUCGAGGAUGCUUUACAGCAGCCGGAUCGUAUAAGAGUCGCUACUAAACCCGCACUUGUGCACCCUUUAAAUUUAGACCUCAAAUCAGAUGGGACUACCCGCUGAACUUAA
This 298-nucleotide unclassified non-coding RNA is filed under the name Septobasidiaceae sp. RNAcentral's name for it is "partial contains 5.8S ribosomal RNA, internal transcribed spacer 2, and large subunit ribosomal RNA". The record is from RNAcentral. Lineage: Eukaryota; Fungi; Basidiomycota; Pucciniomycetes; Septobasidiales; Septobasidiaceae.